ACACCUCAACUCUCAUGGCUUGCCAUGAUGAGCUUGGACUUUGGGGGUCUUGCAGGCCUACGGUCGGCUCCUCUCAAACGAAUCAGCUUGCCAGUGUUUGGUGGCAUCACAGGUGUGAUAACUAUCUACGCUUGUGGUUUUCCGCCAGGUAACCUUCAGUGAUGGAGGUUCGCUGGGGCUCACAAAUGUCUCUCCUCAGCGAGGACAGCUUUUAAC
RNAcentral lists this unclassified non-coding RNA (216 nucleotides) under uncultured Thelephorales. RNAcentral describes it as "sequence contains ITS2". The record is from RNAcentral. Lineage: Eukaryota; Fungi; Basidiomycota; Agaricomycetes; Thelephorales.